UCUUCUCCAAACCUUUUAAAAAAAAAAAACAGAAUUUGUGUCAUCUCUCCUCCGUCGUCCUCACUUAUCCUUAUCACCCUCACCACUCCCGCUCAUAACAAUGAUCGACUCCCUCCACCUUAGUCCUCACCAAUCCUUACGCACUCACUCUUCUAUUUCUCUCUCAUCUUCAUCUAUCUACGCUUACGGAUUGCAAAACAAGGAACAAGCAAAGCUAUGAGUUUUCUUUCAAACAGAGUUUGGAGUAUAUACGUCGGAUUUCUGCUAUGGUGCGAACGGUUAUUGAUUGUUUCAACUCCAUUUUUUAGGAAGUAGGGUUGAGCAGAACAAGGUUGGUACCGUGAGAACCAUGGAACCAAACACUGAGUACCGCAUAGACACAACAGGUUACGGGCUGUUAAACUUGACCUGCAUUUUUUAAGUGACAAACAUGGGUUACGGGUUGUUACGCGGGAUUGUAAGAAUAUAUGUAACAUGUGUUACGCAUCCUAGUGUAACACAAAAAACUUUUUGAACAUAAUUUGUGAAAGCUAACCGUGAAUAAACUGUCUUCGUGUGUGAUGGAAAAAAACCGUUAUACCGUCUUCUGACACUUGGUUUGAAAUGUAGCAAAAAAAAACUUGCCCUUGAGAAUUUCCUUUCGGACGACAUGAAAAA
Long non-coding RNA from Helianthus annuus (common sunflower), 657 nucleotides. RefSeq lists it as uncharacterized. The record is from RefSeq and is a predicted model, not a curated record. The transcript is spliced from 2 exons. NCBI's taxonomy places the organism in Eukaryota, Viridiplantae, Streptophyta, Magnoliopsida, Asterales, Asteraceae.